Molecule: ribosomal RNA, 253 nt
Filed under: uncultured bacterium
Lineage: Bacteria
Description: partial 16S ribosomal RNA
Rfam family: Bacterial small subunit ribosomal RNA
Source: RNAcentral
UACGUAGGGGGCAAGCGUUGUCCGGAAUCAUUGGGCGUAAAGCGCGUGUAGGCGGCUCGAUACGUCUGCUGUGAAAGUCCAGGGCUCAACCCUGGGAUGCCGGUGGAUACUGUCGAGCUCGAGUCCGGAAGAGGCGAGUGGAAUUCCUGGUGUAGCGGUGAAAUGCGCAGAUAUCAGGAGGAACACCAAUGGCGAAGGCAGCUCGCUGGGACGGUACUGACGCUGAGACGCGAAAGCGUGGGGAGCAAACAGG